RNAcentral lists this ribosomal RNA (255 nucleotides) under uncultured bacterium. Its description in RNAcentral is "partial 16S ribosomal RNA". It matches the Rfam family "Bacterial small subunit ribosomal RNA", at positions 524 to 776 of the family's 1533-position model. The record is from RNAcentral.
UACGUAGGGCGCAAGCGUUGUCCGGAAUUAUUGGGCGUAAAGAGCUCGUAGGCGGUUUGUCGCGUCUGCUGUGAAAACCUAAGGCUCAACCUUGGGCUUGCAGUGGGUACGGGCAGACUAGAGUGCGGUAGGGGUGACUGGAAUUCCUGGUGUAGCGGUGGAAUGCGCAGAUAUCAGGAGGAACACCGAUGGCGAAGGCAGGUCACUGGACCGCAACUGACGCUGGAGGAGCGAAAAGCAUGGGGAGCGAACAGG